Long non-coding RNA from Melanotaenia boesemani (Boeseman's rainbowfish), 287 nucleotides. RefSeq lists it as uncharacterized. The record is from RefSeq and is a predicted model, not a curated record. Lineage: Eukaryota; Metazoa; Chordata; Actinopteri; Atheriniformes; Melanotaeniidae. The transcript is spliced from 3 exons.
CACUCUUUCCUAUAAUGGAUGAAAGUGUGUAUGUGUGUGUGAGCUGGUGGGCGGACGUCACCACAGCAGCUUGUUUCACAUCUGUUCUGUGUGUUUGUGUCUACAGGUGAACUCUCUGCCAGUUCUCUGGCUCGUUGAUGGGCAGCUAGUGGUCCCUCCUGGAUACCUGAUGCCGGUGCACGACCCCCGCCCCGCUGCAACCACCCAGAGCGCCUGCUGCUCACAGAAGAGGAAGCGAGAUGACCACAGCGAGCCACCAUACGUUAAGAAGCCACCCAACGCCUUCA